CUCCCACUGGGUUUGUGUGAACAGAAGGAGAAGCAAAGAUCUGAUCAGAGGAAGACGGCAGAGACGGUGAGGACAACUGGUCACCUGAAAACUAAACGCCUGAGCAGGAGGCCAGACGCAUUUCUGGAGGACAUUUAAUCAGCUGAUAAAAGAUGGCGCAGCAGCAGGAAGUCCAGCAGGAAGUCCAGCAGGAAGUCCAGCAGGAAGUCCAGCAGGAAGUCCAGCAGGAAGUGGAUUUUGGUAAGUGAUCAGAAGCAGAAAUGAACCAUCAUGAAGGAACAAACGGACCAAUCACAGCCCGUGUUGCUGCCAUGUGAUGAACCUCAGCCUCAGAGUAUUUAUUGUUUUCAUGCUUCCUGUUCAGUGAAGAUCUGCUGGAAACUGAGUUUCUGUGAAACCUGAAGAUAAAAACUGAACUCAGAUGGAAACAGAACUAAAAGGAACCAAAGUGAAGAACAUCUUCAGGAAUAUUUACUAUAUACACUAAUUAAUUUAUCCAGUAAUCACAUCAUUUAUUACUAAUUUAUUAUCAAAGACUUGCUGUUUCUAUUAUCCCAACAUUUGGUGACAGAGAUGCUGAAGCUUAGAGAUGGAGAUUAAAAACUUGUUGAAAGUAAAAGACAGAAAAAUGAUGAAAAUGUUAAUCAGUCGAUAUUUUCAUCAAUAA
Poeciliopsis prolifica (blackstripe livebearer) is the source of this 667-nucleotide long non-coding RNA. RefSeq lists it as uncharacterized. The transcript has 3 exons. The record is from RefSeq and is a predicted model, not a curated record. NCBI's taxonomy places the organism in Eukaryota, Metazoa, Chordata, Actinopteri, Cyprinodontiformes, Poeciliidae.